Molecule: transfer RNA, 20 nt
Filed under: Hyloxalus delatorreae
Lineage: Eukaryota; Metazoa; Chordata; Amphibia; Anura; Dendrobatidae
Description: partial tRNA-Phe
Source: RNAcentral
CCUUAUAGUCCUUUAACAUA